Non-coding RNA from Schistosoma curassoni, 48 nucleotides. The record is from Rfam. NCBI's taxonomy places the organism in Eukaryota, Metazoa, Platyhelminthes, Trematoda, Strigeidida, Schistosomatidae.
AUCCAGCUGACGAGUCCCAAACAGGACAAAACGCGCGUCAAACUGGAU